UCGGGAAUUUUGGGCAAUGGGGGAAACCCUGACCCAGCAACGCCGCGUGAAGGAUGAAGUAUUUCGGUAUGUAAACUUCGAAAGAAUAGGAAGAAUAAAUGACGGUACUAUUUAUAAGGUCCGGCUAACUACGUGCCAGCAGCCGCGGUAAUACGUAGGGACCAAGCGUUGUUCGGAUUUACUGGGCGUAAAGGGCGCGUAGGCGGCAUGACAAGUCACUUGUGAAUCUCUGGGCUUAACCCAGAACGGCCAAGUGAUACUGUCGCGCUAGAGUGCAGAAGGGGCAAUCGGAAUUCUUGGUGUAGCGGUGAAAUGCGUAGAUAUCAAGAGGAACACCUGAGGUGAAGACGGGUUGCUGGGCUGACACUGACGCUGAGGCGCGAAAGCCAGGGGAGCAAACGGGAUUAGAUACCCCCGUAGUCCCUGAGCGGGCUGGCAAGGCGCAU
Molecule: ribosomal RNA, 446 nt
Filed under: uncultured bacterium
Lineage: Bacteria
Description: bacterial SSU rRNA
Rfam family: Bacterial small subunit ribosomal RNA
Source: RNAcentral